AUCUGUGCGCAGUUUUGAUUGCUGUCUGGGUUACAGCUACACGUGCCGAGCCGAUUGAUGGGAAACGUUGUGAAGUCUCGGGAAUGAUAUUGGACAGGCCUAUUCAACUGAGUGUACUUCGAUUUAUCGUCGUCAGUCGACGUUGCCAUGGGCUAGAACAAAUUACGCAAGCACUAAAGAUACGGAAAUAAAUUAUAUACUCGUACUUAAUUGAUUUGGAUCUUGGUCUAGGAUUUAGUCUACCGACGAAACUAUAGAAAUGACUUGAAAUAUCAUUUGAUAUUUACCAGUCGCUUUUCGGUGAAGGAAAACAUCGUGAGGAAACCGGACGAAUCCCCACAAGGCCUAGUUUUACCCUCUGGGUUGGAAGGUCAGAUGGCAGUCGCUUUUGUAAAAAAUAGUGCCUACGCCAAAUCUAGGGAUUAGUUGUCAAGCGGACCCUAGGCUCCCACGAGCCGUGGCAAUAUGCCGGGACAACGCAAGGAGGAAGAAGGGAAAACAUCUUACAAAGCUACAAAAAUCAUGAAAUUAUUUCUCAUUGCGGCAUUAAAUUAGUCUAGUCUGAGUAAUAAAAAUACACUGAUACAUAUUAUACCUACCUAAUUAUACAGUAAUCUUAUACCGUCUGGCUGUAAAAAUAAUAACAUUUUUAUAUUUUGUGGCUUCAGUUAAUCAAGAACUAAAUAAUUACAAGUCAUCUACCUAUCAUUUAAAAUAUAACAAAAUAGUUUCAAUCGUAUGAGUACAGACAGUUUAUCUGUAUCACUGCAAUACGUUCAAUAAUUAGGGUAAAAUAUAAAUAAGUAAUUAACGCUGAUGAUUAGGGCCGUGACAUCAUCGGGGAAGUAGGUCGCCGGUCCUCCCACAGCGAAGGUCGGAUAUUAUAAAUGGUUUCCGUGUGUGGUGCCGAUACGUUACCCAAUAGGUUUGUGGAAUCUGUGGUGUACAGAGAAACUAGGAUUAUAGAACAGGUUUAUUGACAGUAGAAAAGGUUGAAGUAAUGUCAAAAAUAAUAGCAUGCCAUUGAGUACUGUUGGGCAGUCGGAAAGUUUCCAAAAUAGCGAAUUACCGAAACUUCUUAUAUUUAUGUAUGGGGAUUAAAAAUUGCCGUUUGAUAAAUGAAAGUUUUCUCAAUUUCCUAUGAAAUUUCCAUGAUUUUUUUCAAUGUGUGAAUUUUCCACCACCCACACAUCUGUAUCUUUGGGUUUGACAGAUGAGCUAGACGGUAUUUUACGGAACCAUAUGUUUUGUGGUAGCCGACUUAUCAAACGUAGUUACCGCGUAACGUACGGGGUCAUACAGCGCCAUCUAGUUUUUCUUUGACUUACAACUCAUUUACUAUGAAUAACUCUUUAGUUUUAGUGAUUUUAGAACGAAAUAUACAAAUUAACGUUGUUUGUUGGAAAGCCAAUUAGUGCGAAUUAUAUUUCUUCAACUAAGUAGGAUUCUAGCAUUUUAUUAUUUAUAAUUUAACAAUUAAAUACGUCAUCUACGAAAUUGCGGUGAUAGCCCGAAUUACUCCAUUGCGAUCCCUAGAAUGUGGUCCUAUAAAGGUUUAGUUUUAAUCCGAUCCUUUGUGUGUAGAUCCCAAAUUAAUUGUAAUUAAGAGGGAAUUAUACCAUGUGAUAGUCCAUACAAACAGAGAAAACGUUUUAGCAUUUCUAAAUAUUUUCCUUUCUCCAUUAUUUUUUUGUAGUUUAUGUAUGCAAUGAAUAACUAGGUUUAUAGGUUUUCCUUUUUUUUCAAAAUUUGCAAACCAAACUGAAGCGAUCGACAUCAAAAUCAAAAUGAUUUGUUAAGAGUUAAUUAGUGGAAAACGUUUUCUCCCGAAAUGAUUUCAUAGAAAAAGUAC
This is a long non-coding RNA of Cydia pomonella (codling moth), 1852 nucleotides long. RefSeq lists it as uncharacterized. The record is from RefSeq and is a predicted model, not a curated record. The transcript has 2 exons. NCBI's taxonomy places the organism in Eukaryota, Metazoa, Arthropoda, Insecta, Lepidoptera, Tortricidae.